This 278-nucleotide ribosomal RNA is filed under the name Staphylococcus aureus. RNAcentral describes it as "partial 16S ribosomal RNA". It matches the Rfam family "Bacterial small subunit ribosomal RNA", at positions 1257 to 1533 of the family's 1533-position model. Lineage: Bacteria; Bacillati; Bacillota; Bacilli; Caryophanales; Staphylococcaceae. RNAcentral also lists the same sequence under 1 other name. The record is from RNAcentral.
GCGAGGUCAAGCAAAUCCCAUAAAGUUGUUCUCAGUUCGGAUUGUAGUCUGCAACUCGACUACAUGAAGCUGGAAUCGCUAGUAAUCGUAGAUCAGCAUGCUACGGUGAAUACGUUCCCGGGUCUUGUACACACCGCCCGUCACACCACGAGAGUUUGUAACACCCGAAGCCGGUGGAGUAACCUUUUAGGAGCUAGCCGUCGAAGGUGGGACAAAUGAUUGGGGUGAAGUCGUAACAAGGUAGCCGUAUCGGAAGGUGCGGCUGGAUCACCUCCUUU